RNAcentral lists this ribosomal RNA (197 nucleotides) under uncultured bacterium. Its description in RNAcentral is "partial 16S ribosomal RNA". It matches the Rfam family "Bacterial small subunit ribosomal RNA", at positions 328 to 529 of the family's 1533-position model. The record is from RNAcentral.
ACGCUCGACACCUACGAGAGGCAGCAGUGGGGAAUAUUGCACAAUGGGGGAAACCCUGAUGCCGCGACGCCGCGUGAGCGAAGAAGUAUUUCGGUAUGUAAAGCUCUAUCAGCAGGGAAGAAACUGACGGUACCUGACUAAGAAGCACCGGCUAAAUACGUGCCAGCAGCGUGACGUAUGNGNGGCGGNGNGACGAG